AGAGUUUGAUUAUGGCUCAGGAUGAACGCUAGCUACAGGCUUAACACAUGCAAGUCGAGGGGGUAACAGGGUAGCAAUACCGCUGACGACCGGCGCACGGGUGAGUAACACGUAUCCAACCUUCCCAUAACUCAGGGAUAGCCUUUCGAAAGAAAGAUUAAUACCUGAUAGUACUUUUUCAAGGCAUCUUGAGAAAGUUAAAGAUUUAUUGGUUAUGGAUGGGGAUGCGUUCCAUUAGAUAGUUGGUGAGGUAACGGCUCACCAAGUCUUCGAUGGAUAGGGGUUCUGAGAGGAAGGUCCCCACAUUGGUACUGAGACACGGACCAAACUCCUACGGGAGGCAGCAGUGAGGAAUAUUGGUCAAUGGGCGAGAGCCUGAACCAGCCAAGUAGCGUGAAGGAUGAAGGUCCUAUGGAUUGUAAACUUCUUUUAUAGUAGAAUAAAGUGAUCCACGUGUGGAUUUUUGUAUGUAUACUAUGAAUAAGGAUCGGCUAACUCCGUGCCAGCAGCCGC
Molecule: ribosomal RNA, 513 nt
Filed under: uncultured bacterium
Lineage: Bacteria
Description: bacterial SSU rRNA
Rfam family: Bacterial small subunit ribosomal RNA
Source: RNAcentral